RNAcentral lists this ribosomal RNA (459 nucleotides) under uncultured bacterium. RNAcentral's name for it is "partial 16S ribosomal RNA". It matches the Rfam family "Bacterial small subunit ribosomal RNA", at positions 338 to 795 of the family's 1533-position model. The record is from RNAcentral.
CCUACGGGGGGCAGCAGUGAGGAAUAUUGGUCAAUGGGCGCGAGCCUGAACCAGCCAAGUCGCGUGAGGGAAGACGGUCCUAUGGAUUGUAAACCUCUUUUGUCGGGGAGCAAAAGACGCCACGCGUGGCGUUCCGAGAGUACCCGAAGAAAAAGCAUCGGCUAACUCCGUGCCAGCAGCCGCGGUAAUACGGAGGAUGCGAGCGUUAUCCGGAUUUAUUGGGUUUAAAGGGUGCGCAGGCGGAAGAUCAAGUCAGUGGUAAAAUUGAGAGGCUCAACCUCUUCGAGCCGUUGAAACUGGUUUGCUUGAGUGAGUGAGAAGUAUGCGGAAUGCGUGGUGUAGCGGUGAAAUGCAUAGAGAUCACGCAGAACUCCGAUUGCGAAGGCAGCAUACCGGCGCUCAACUGACGCUCAUGCACGAAAGUGUGGGUAUCGAACAGGAUUAGAUACCCUUGUAGUC